RNAcentral lists this ribosomal RNA (694 nucleotides) under uncultured bacterium. RNAcentral describes it as "bacterial SSU rRNA". It matches the Rfam family "Bacterial small subunit ribosomal RNA", at positions 111 to 823 of the family's 1533-position model. The record is from RNAcentral.
UAACGCGUGGGUAACCUGCCUCACACUGGGGGAUAACAGUUAGAAAUAGCUGCUAAUACCGCAUAAGCGCACAGUUCCGCAUGGAACAGUGUGAAAAACUCCGGUGGUGUGAGAUGGACCCGCGUCUGAUUAGCCAGUUGGCGGGGUAACGGCCCACCAAAGCGACGAUCAGUAGCCGGCCUGAGAGGGUGAACGGCCACAUUGGGACUGAGACACGGCCCAAACUCCUACGGGAGGCAGCAGUGGGGAAUAUUGCACAAUGGGGGAAACCCUGAUGCAGCGACGCCGCGUGAGUGAAGAAGUAUUUCGGUAUGUAAAGCUCUAUCAGCAGGGAAGAAAGUGACGGUACCUGAAUAAGAAGCCCCGGCUAACUACGUGCCAGCAGCCGCGGUAAUACGUAGGGGGCAAGCGUUAUCCGGAUUUACUGGGUGUAAAGGGAGCGUAGACGGCAAGGCAAGUCUGAAGUGAAAGCCCGGUGCUUAACGCCGGGACUGCUUUGGAAACUGUUUGGCUGGAGUGCCGGAGAGGUAAGCGGAAUUCCUAGUGUAGCGGUGAAAUGCGUAGAUAUUAGGAAGAACACCAGUGGCGAAGGCGGCUUACUGGACGGUAACUGACGUUGAGGCUCGAAAGCGUGGGGAGCACACAGGAUUAGAUACCCUGGUAGUCCACGCCGUAAACGAUGAUUGCUAGGUGU